UACGGAAGGCAGCAGUGGGGAAUAUUGCACAAUGGGCGCAAGCCUGAUGCAGCCAUGCCGCGUGUAUGAAAAAGGCCUUCGGGUUGUAAAGUACUUUCAGUCGUGAGGAAGGUGUUAAGGUUAAUAACCUUAGCAAUUGACGUUAGCGACAGAAGAAGCACCGGCUAACUCCGUGCCAGCAGCCGCGGUAAUACGGAGGGUGCGAGCGUUAAUCGGAAUUACUGGGCGUAAAGGGCACGCAGGCGGUUAAUUAAGUUGGAUGUGAAAUCCCCGGGCUUAACCUGGGAAUGGCAUUCAAGACUGGUUAGCUAGAGUCUUGUAGAGGGGGUAGAAUUCCGAUGUGUAGCGGUGAAAUGCGUAGAGAUGUGGAGGAAUACCGGUGGCGAAGGCGGCCCCUGGACAAAGACUGACGCUCAUGUGCGAAAGCGUGGGGAGCAAACGAGGGAUUAGAU
This 452-nucleotide ribosomal RNA is filed under the name uncultured bacterium. RNAcentral's name for it is "bacterial SSU rRNA". It matches the Rfam family "Bacterial small subunit ribosomal RNA", at positions 340 to 783 of the family's 1533-position model. The record is from RNAcentral.